UACGUAGGGUGCAAGCGUUGUCCGGAAUUAUUGGGCGUAAAGAGCUCGUAGGCGGUUCGUCGCGUCGGCUGUGAAAUCCCGAGGCUCAACCUCGGGUCUGCAGUCGAUACGGGCGGACUAGAGUUCGGCAGGGGAGACUGGAAUUCCUGGUGUAGCGGUGAAAUGCGCAGAUAUCAGGAGGAACACCGGUGGCGAAGGCGGUUCUCUGGGCCGAUACUGACGCUGAGGAGCGAAAGCGUGGGGAGCGAACAGG
Molecule: ribosomal RNA, 253 nt
Filed under: uncultured bacterium
Lineage: Bacteria
Description: partial 16S ribosomal RNA
Rfam family: Bacterial small subunit ribosomal RNA
Source: RNAcentral